Molecule: ribosomal RNA, 910 nt
Filed under: uncultured bacterium
Lineage: Bacteria
Description: bacterial SSU rRNA
Rfam family: Bacterial small subunit ribosomal RNA
Source: RNAcentral
AGAGUUUGAUCAUGGCUCAGAAUGAACGCUGGCGGCGUGCCUAACACAUGCAAGUCGAGCGAGAAAGCCUCUUCGGAGGUGAGUACAGCGGCGGAUGGGUGAGUAAUACGUAAGAACCUGCCCUUUAGUGAAGGAUACUCCCGAGAAAUUGGGGUUAAUACUGCAUACGUCCUACGGGAGAAAGGUGGCCUCUUGCUGCCGCUGAAUGAUUAGCUUGCGUACUAUCAGCUUGUUGGUGAGGUAAAGGCUCACCAAGGCUAUGACGGCUAGCCGGCCUGAGAGGGUGUACGGCCACAUUGGAACUGAGACACGGUCCAGACUCCUACGGGAGGCAGCAGUGGGGAAUAUUGCGCAAUGGGCGAAAGCCUGACGCAGCGACACCGCGUGGAGGAUGACGGCUUUCGGGUUGUAAACUCCUGUUAAGUGGGAAGAAAAGUUUGUCUUUAAUACAGACAAGUUAUGACGGUACCACUAGAGAAAGCACCGGCUAACUUCGUGCCAGCAGCCGCGGUAAUACGAGGGGUGCAAGCGUUAUUCGGAAUUACUGGGCGUAAAGGGUGUGUAGACGGCGUAUUAAGUCUGUUGUUAAAUUUCUCGGCUUAACCGAGAGUCGGCAGUGGAAACUAGUAUGCUAGAGGAUGAGAGAGAGAAGUGGAAUUCCCGGAGUAGCGGUAAAAUGCGUAGAUCUCGGGAGGAACACCGAUGGCGAAGGCAGCUUCUUGGCUCAUUCCUGACGUUGAGGCACGAAAGCGUGGGGAGCAAACAGGAUUAGAUACCCUGGUAGUCCACGCUGUAAACGAUAAUCACUAGACGUUAGUCCAGCUUUGCUGGAUUAGUGUCGUAGCUAACGCGUUAAGUGAUUCGCCUGGGGACUACGAUCGCAAGAUUAAAACUCAAAGGAAUUGACGGG